Molecule: long non-coding RNA, 470 nt
Organism: Neltuma alba
Lineage: Eukaryota; Viridiplantae; Streptophyta; Magnoliopsida; Fabales; Fabaceae
Exons: 2
Source: RefSeq, a predicted model, not a curated record
UCAUGACACUCUUGGAUUUGGCUCAGCCAAAAUGAUAAGAUUUUGAAUCCAUCAGUAAUGCUAGGAAACGAGCCAGCUGCGAACGUCGAGCGCCUGAUUUUGCUAAGAUGAUUCUCUAGCAGAGAAGAAAGGUUGAAGGAGUUGCGGAAGUUGUUGCAGCUAUUCGGCAGUUCUAGUCAUAGCAAUGUUUCGGCUUCUAUAACUUAAAUGUUUGGUUUUGCUGUUGAGCACGUGGUUUCACUGAUUUAUCAAAACGUGGUUUCCAGCGUGAAACCAAACAUUUCCGGAGUAAGCUUUGUGCUCAAUAAUAAAAUCUUUCGGAAUUUUAUUGUCUGUUCGUGUAAAUUAUAAGAAUCUGGUCUGGUGAAGACCUUGAUAAAGGGAUAAGAAUGCCUUUCUUUUUUUUUUUUUUGGAAAAAAAACUCUUCUAUGUAUUGCUUGGUUGUGCAAAUACAUGCACCGUUGGCUUU